This 931-nucleotide long non-coding RNA is filed under the name Anser brachyrhynchus (Pink-footed goose). RNAcentral describes it as "lncRNA (ENSABRG00000007750.1)". Lineage: Eukaryota; Metazoa; Chordata; Aves; Anseriformes; Anatidae. The record is from RNAcentral.
UCAAGGCCCUGGAGCUGGGGGGGGAGCAGUUGAUUCCCCCCCCCCAGAUGUUGCCCUGUUUUUUUUUUUUUGUUUUUUCUUGGGGGGGGGGAUUUGUAAAAUAAAUCUCAAAAAAGCCGCUGCGCCUGGUCCCUGGUGCUGGGUCCCCCCCCACCCCGCAAUGAAGGUGGGCCUCGUGGGGGGUCCGUGUCCACUGAGGAGGAGGAGUGGGGUGAAAUGAGAAGAUUUGGGGUGAAAAGAGAAGAUUUUGGGGCCCUGGGGAGAUCUGGGGGUGAAAUGAGAAGAUUUGGAGUCCUGGGAAGGGAUUUGGGGUGAAAUGAGAAGAUUUCUGGGGCUCGGGGGGGGGAUUUGGGGGUGAACUGAGAAGAUUUUGGGGUUCUGAGAGGGGGAGAUUUGGGGAUGAAAUGAGGAAAUUUGGGGUCCUGGGUGGAGAUUUGGGGGUGAAAUUAGAAGAUUUGGGGGCCCCAUGGGGAGUUUGGGGGGGGUGAAAUGAGAUUUUGGAGCCCUUGAGAGAAUUUGAGGGUGAAACAAGGAGAUUUGGGGCUUGGGCUGGGGUGAGAGGAGGAGAACUAGGGCUCUGGGGGAGGUUUUGGGGUGAAAGGAGGAGAAUUGGGGCCCGGGGGGUGCUUGGGGGGCAGCGGCUGGGUGCAGUGCCCCCAGCGAUGGGACACGGAUGAGACCAGGAUGCUCAGGGCACCACCUCGGAAUUCCUCCAAAAAAAUAAAUUAAAAAAAAAACAGGAUUUGGGGUUUCACCACCCCGUUUCCUCCCGUUUCGGGUCGCCACCCCACCCAGCACCGGUGGCCCCGCUCCUUUCCCACUGCUGCCACCGCUUCCUCUUCACUGCCGGUAUAAAACCGCGCCGCCCCACGGCCCCGUCCUUUGCCGUCAGCACCGGGAGAGCGGCCGCAGCCCGCGGGGACCAGGUUGC